UUACUAAUUUUUUUAUUAAUUUAAUUAAUAAUUAUAAUUAUUUAUAUUUCUUUUAGUAUUUUUUCUAACUAAUUUUUAUUGAAUAAAAAACUGUAAAGGUUUAAUUUAAUUGUUUGUAUUAAAUUUAUUUAGUACCUUUUGUAUCAGGGUAAAUUAAAUAAUUAAUUUAUAUUAUAAUCCCGAAAUAAAAAUAGUUAUUUCUUUUUUAAUUUAUUUGUAAAAUCAAAUUUUAAAAAUUGGAUUUAGUAGUUAUAUGCUAGUCGUUUUUUAUAUAUCUGGUUACUGUGGAUUUAAUUAAAUUAAUUAUUCAUUUAUUUUUUUUUAUUAAAAUUUAUUGGAAUAAAAUUUUAUUAGGGAUAAUCUUAAUAUUUCUAUUACAAUAUUUUUAUUUUAUGAAUUUAUUUACUUUAAUAUUUUGUAUUAAGUUUUUAUUAAAUUGGUUCUAUUUAUUAUAAUUUUCUUUUAUUUAUUUUUUUACUCAGUUUUUUAAUUUAAUAUUUAUAUUAUAAUAAUAUUGAUUUAAUUAGUAUAAUAGUUAAUUAUUUUUUUAUGAAUUCGACAAAUUUAGGUAUUUUCAACUGUUUAACAAAAACUUUUCUUUCAGUUUAUUUUGAAAGUAUAUUCUGCCCUAUGGUUAUUUUUCUAAAUGGCUGCAGUAUUUUGACUGUGCAAAGGUAGCAUAGUAAUUAGUUUCUUAAUUAGAAUCUGGUAUGAAUGGAUGAAUGAAAAAUGUAUUUUAUUAAUUUUAUUAUUAUAAUUUUAAUUUUAAGUAAAAAUGCUUAAUUGUAAUCCUGGGACGAUAAGACCCUAUAGAACUUUAUACUAAUAAAUUAUUUUAUAUAUUAAUUUUUUUAUUUUAUUAUAUAUUUUAGUAUUUUGCUGGGGUGGUAAAUAAAUAUUUAACUUUAUUUUAAAAAUUCAUUAAAUUAGUGUUUAUUAUGAUCUUUUAUAAGAAUAAUAAUAUUAAGUUACCUUAGGGAUAACAGCGUAAUUUUAAUGGAAAGUUCAUAUUUAUAUUAAUUUUUGCGACCUCGAUGUUGAAUUAAGAAAAAAUUAAGGGGUAGAUUUUUUAAUUUUAAGUCUGUUCGACUUUUAAUUUCUUACAUGAUUUGAGUUCAAACCGGCGUGAGCCAGGUUGGUUUCUAUCUGGGAUAAAUUUAUUUUAUUUAGUACGAAAGGACCAAUAAAAUGCACAUUAUGUGUUGUUUUUUUAAUAU
RNAcentral lists this ribosomal RNA (1217 nucleotides) under Maiestas dorsalis. RNAcentral's name for it is "16S ribosomal RNA". The record is from RNAcentral. Lineage: Eukaryota; Metazoa; Arthropoda; Insecta; Hemiptera; Cicadellidae.